Podarcis lilfordi (Lilford's wall lizard) is the source of this 5765-nucleotide non-coding RNA. The record is from the annotation of a GenBank genome assembly. Lineage: Eukaryota; Metazoa; Chordata; Lepidosauria; Squamata; Lacertidae.
ACCCACGGUGCAGCAGCAGCAGCGGUGUCCCAGUGCCUCAAUGAGGCCUUUUAAGCUGUGGCGGUGGUGAGUCAGUCUGGGCCCCGCCCCCUGGGCCAGGUGGAAUUAGCCUGAGGAGGGAGCGGCCUUCUCCAACUCACAGUGCAGCAGCAGCAGCGGUCCACACGAGAGUGUGGGGGUGAAGGGUUUGGAGCCCUAAUGACUUGGUGAACCCAUCUGUAACAUCCUACCAAAUGCUGAAGAGAAUUUCCCAUCUAGUCAUACCUGAUGUGGGAGUGAUGACCAUUUUCUACCUUAUAACUUACCAUGAUGUGUGUGCAAUCCUUGUUAAGACCAGCCAUCUAUAACAGGCUUCCUCAACCUCAGCCCUCCAGAUGUUUUUGGCCUACAACUCCCAUGAUCCAUAGCUAGCAGGACCAGUGAUAAGGGAUGCUGGGAAUUGUAGUCUCAAAACAUCUGGAGGGCUGAGGUUGAGGAAGCCUGAUCUUUAACAUCCUGCCAAGGUCUUAAGAUAAUUUGAUCAAACUGAGGAAUCAGAGGCCUGAUAAAAUUCUCCUUACCAUUUGGCAACCUCAUUCUUUAUUAUGAUUGUUAUACUUGACCAGCUUUAUUAUUUAGCAUGUUAACACUUAGUAAAUGGUCACUGGUAAUCAUACAAAGUCACACUAUAUACUCAGAGAACUGUGGUGAGCCAGAAACGAUUAAUUUUUAUUUUUAUAUAACACUUUACAUAGUUGGGCAAAUCUCUGCCCAACAGAUCUAUGGUUAAAUUUAGACAAGGGAGGACAGAAGACAAAAGAGACAGGAAAAAUGGAUAAGUAAGGGAUGGAUGAGAUCAGAAGUAGUUAUACACAACAAGGAUUCAGGAGUAUUUUGCUUGGCCUUCAUUUUAAAGCAAUCUGAACUAAUUUACAGUUCCCUACUUAUUUGUAGAUCAGAGUAUAGUUAACAAUCAAAUGGUUCUGAUUGCAGUUUUCGUACAAAAAUGUGUCUGAAACUAUAUAUUAUCUGGGGGAAAAGCAGUAUGAAAUGUUAUGGAGAAAUGCCUGCAAAAGCAUAUAAAACUACAUAGUUCAGGGGUAAAUGAAUAGAAUAUGCAUGCAAAGUAUAUCUUCUAAAGGAAAGUGCAUACACAAAUGCAUGCGAUUUAAGUGUGUGUGUGUUUUAAAGAGAUUGAAUGGAUUUGUGAUGCAUGGGAAACUGACUAGGGCAAAUAACUAGGCUGAUCCAUUCAUCCCUAAUCACACAUACUUCAGCUAUUUUGAGCUACAUAAUACUGCAGGCUAACUAAGAAUCAUACCCUGAACUUGCUGGGUCCUCUUCUAGCCUGACAUCAUGACAUAUCUAAGUGAUUGGCAGAUGUCUUAAAUGCCCCCUGCUCCUGUGCGAUGUGACAAAAUCCCAUAACAUUAAAUGCAUUCUGGGGAGCAGCCAUCAGUUCUCCCAAGUUGUCUGCUGAGAGCUUUAUUGUUUCUUCCACCUGCCCCUAGAAUGAUUCAUUACAUCCUCUGAAGAAAGUGAAUAGAAUUCCAGCACUGGGACAAGUUGCCUAUGGCUGAUGUAAGGCUAGAGUGGAUCGCUGCUUCCAUUACAGUAUAAUGAAUGUCUUUAUAUGUACAUUUUGUUAAUAAUGAGUCAAGAAAGCAUCCCUGGGCCAUUCUGGAAACUAUAGGCCAAAGAAAAGUCAGGAACAACAGCACGUAGCUGCUUGUUUUUCAGCUACUUCUUUUUAAAAAAGCAAAACAAAAGCAAAUAAUUGAAGCAGUGAAAUAAAAACAGACCAACUGGGACAUUCUCAAAGCAUAUUUUAGCAAGGUACAGCAGUAUGUGAUAUUAAGUUACUUUCUUUAAGCUAAAAAAGAGGGGGAGCAUUGCAACACAUCACAGUGAUGUGCAUUGUUGAUUUUUAGUCAUUUGUUAUCAGUGGCGUAGCUAGAUGAUUUCAGAUUUGAUGUCCUUAUGCACACACAUACCUCUUUAGAUGGUGGCGUGCAUCAUUUCACUCACGUAAACAUGUGUUAAGCCAGCCCUGCUGCGUUGGGGGACCCCAGGCUUUAGCCCCAAAGUCCUGCCCUGACAGCACUACCGUCCAUCACUUAGAAAGAAUGUAGAAGAACGGGAAGGGGUGGAUAUACAGUGCUCUCUUUUCUGGCUUCUUCAGCAGAGUCUUAAAAAUAACACACUUGCUGAGCACCCUGAUAUCUAUUCCCUCUUUUCCAGAAAGAAAAAUUCCACUGCAAGAAUAAAUGAGACUAGUAUAUCACACCUUGCGCUGAGGGAAUUCUUAAAGGUUAGUGGGGCAGAAAUCACCACUGGCUGGAAGCGGUGGAAAAGAAACUAUUUAAUGGGACAAAAGUUUGCUGAAAGAUGGCAGAUCAUAGCAGGAUCACUGGGAUUUUUUUAACGGGACCAAAUAAGCUGCUUCUAGGCUCAUUUUACAGCUAUUCUCUCCUGCUGUGCUAAUGAGGUGAAAACUGACCUGCCUGCUUAAGUUCUGGCUCCAUACUUUGUAAUGGUGUGACAUGCUGAAUAGCUAGCUGCCUUCAUGCACUGUGUUUCCGAUUAGAUCCAGCCCUGAAAUAUAGAACAGAUGUUCUUGCAGCCUCCAAAAGAGCCUAUGUGAAAUUUCAGAGCGUUGUUUUGCUUCCUUACUCCACUGCAUCACAGCAGACCUCUCAUUGGAGCUGCAACACAUCCAUUCCUUUAAUUGCUGUUAGAAGUUGGGUAGGAGACACCUGGUUAACAGUGUGUCAUUCAGUAGGCAAUGCCUGCAGAUUGCGCACGGUUCACUCCAAUCAAUUUAAGAUACGGACAAGGCACAAAGGAGGCUAAUUUAGUUUUUUCUCCUGCUCCAUUGUCUCUUCCCCUGAAUGUGACUUUAUUUUCCUUUAAUCUUUGUGGUUACUGAGAAAAAGUUGUCAAUAUUGAGGAACAACCUUAAGGAAAGCCAAAUUGGAAGGUGACCACAAAGGAUAUAAAUAAUCCAGGUUGUUCCAGUUCAGUGGGAAUUUUGAAUCUGGCUUCUCCCUUAGGCAAGUAGGCAGGCAGGCAGGCAAACAAACAAACCAUAUGAAAGCCACACGGGCCACUUAUCAACCAAGUGUGACAUUCUGCACAUGUCAUCUACACCAGCUGUGGGGAGUCACAAGUGGGAGAACAUUCAGGUCCUAUUUGUAGGUUUCUCAUAGGCAUUUCUCCCACUGUGAGAACAGGAUGGAGAGGGGUUUUCCCCCCAGAUAAUCACCUGUAGGGAAGGACUGCUCAUCUCUUCAUUGUGCAUGCUCAGAUAAUGCAGGAGUGCCACCUGACCAUCCCUAGAAAACAGAAAUACAGACACUGCAAGUCAUGAGACUGAGUGUGCAGUCUAAAUAAAUAACCACAUUUAAAACGAGAUGUGUGUCAGACCAUUACAGGCUAUCAACUGCUAAAGUUUUGAUGAAUGAAAAUAUACAAGAAGCCUUUCAAAACUUGAGUGAUAUUUUUGUGUCAGUGUGUUCAGUUCCUCCUGUCUUUGGUGAAUGGCACUAGAUGCAUUACAGAACAUAUGUUCAAUUAGGGACACACGUGUGAGAGUUGCAUAUUGGUCUGGAAUAAGAAAUCACUGAAAGGCAGGCUUAAGGUGUACCUCAACACUGAUAGCCUUUAGUCAGGGAGAUGGAUUAAAGUUUUGCUGCAAGGCAAAUGCACUCAAAAAGGAAGGAAAAUGGGGAGGGGGGAAUUAGCAUCUCUACAUGACUGAGAAGACAAGCUUUCCUAAAUUGCAGUUUUUAUUUGCUUCUGUUUGUCACUGGUACAGCUUACUGGUGUUUUAAUGUGGCUAAUAGAAAUGCUUUUGAUCAAAGUAUGGGUGUUUGUGUUUUUUUGUUUUUUGUUUAAAAAAGUGUUAAAAACCAGGCAUUUGGUGCUUCAAGAGAAUUGGCUGAAAUUCCUGUGCAAGGGAGAAUGCAUCCUUACAACUCCCUCAACCAGGAAGUGUACUGAUGGGCACAUGGAUUCACCAUUAUGAUGUGUCUCUGGUAAAUGGGCAUUUAAUUGUGACACAUUCCUCUUGACUUAUUUAAAUGCACAAGGGCCCUUUGAUUCCUUCACUUUCCAGAGUGAAAACCAGGCUCCUCCUCACUUUCUGAUAGCCUCUAAACUAGACUGCUUCAAUUGCAGUGAAACCAAGGGGGCUUCAGUGGUGCCUAGAUUUGUGCUGGAAGAUCAUUUUCUCCACACCAGUAAAUAUUAUUUUUUUAAGUUCUAACAUUAUUUUUUUUAAAAAAACACAACAUUUUUGAUGAUAGUUCCUUGCAAACAAUUCUUUAAAACUAUUUUAGAUCUUGCUCAAUACAGUCCAGUGGGAGGAUCCCGCUGUGCAUUAUAAUGCAGGUUGGCAGAGUCUUGCUGUAGAUCUUAAUGUUCUAUUUAUAUUGCUGCAGACUAGUUCUUCCUUGAUAUGGCAGUGCACCCCUGGGUUUCAAGAUGAUUCUGAGAGCAAUGCUAAGUGUGCACUUGGUGUGGUGUUGAGGUACUGCCGUAGGCAGCCUUUCCCCUUUUUAUACUUGAGCGGAAGGAGAGGGAGGCUGCAAGGUUUUAAGCAAAUGACAACCAUGUGCAGAAGCACACAGAGUCUCUCCAAACACACAUCCGUUUAGCUCAGUCCACACUUUUAAGCAAACUGACCAAGUUCACACCUCCUGGACCAAUACACAGAACAGAAUAUAAUAGUCCUUCAGAGGUUUUGUGAGAUUGUUCUUGGCUUGAAAAGCAGAACAAAAUGUGUAACAAAACCGUAUAUUUUAGGAUAAAAUACAUUUAUAAAUAUGUGCAUGGAGGUACACUAUUAUUUUAAUUUAAAUGGGGAUUUUAAUACUCGAAACAAAAGUAAUUCACAGAAUAAUGUGGAAAUGGGAUGCAUGUGAAAUUGGCAUGCAACAGAAAUAGACUCAUCUGUCGAUUUGCAAGGUUAUACCGCCCCAUUUCCUCCCUUUAGGUCGGAAAUCAUGUAAGGGUUUCAGGUAAAUAUAGGUGUGAGUAGCAGAAAGCCUUCAGAAUCUGUAACAGAGGGUGAAUCUGAGAUGAAUAUUUCAUCGAAAAGAUUGAUUUGUAAGUGCCUUCAGCUACAGAGUGCGUACGCCAAAUGGCACCUGCAUUUGACAGCUCUUGAGAGAGUUGUGUGAUCUAAUGAAUGAAGAGUAGAGUAGGUCUUGCAUUUUGUUCUCUCCUUUACCCCAUGUCUACUGUGCGGUCAUUUGUUAUUUUGCACUUCCUCCUGGCCUUUACCUUUUUUGUCUCUUUCAACAGUGCACUUUCUCUGUUCUACACAAUUCCUUGAUCCCAGUUGGAACCUCUCGGUAUUUCCAAAAUACAAAUAAUAACAGGCAUAUCUCCAUUGCUGCAGAGUAGUCAUAAAGGGUUUUUUAUAUAUAUCUAUACCAAACAGUUACAAUGUGCCCGCAUCCAUAUACAUGGGUACCAUUUGUACUUAAAAACCUGCUGCUGCUAAUAAACAGCAAAGCUGACAAUAACACUGAAUCUUUCUGAAAGGCUAGCAGGUAGGAUCCCUGUCAGAAUGAGAGCUUGGCAUGAAAGAAACAUGAAGCGUCAUUCGCACUAACUGUACUUGUUUAAACUUGCAGGGUACAUGUUGAGAGGUGGCUGGAUGGAUUCUUUUUUAUUCUCCUUAAUGAGAAGUUGUCUAGUCAACAUCAUUUCACCAAUCAGAGGCAAGGCUAGUAGACCGGGACCAGAAGACAGUUAAGGUUGAAAAGCUUAAGGAAGGC